Molecule: ribosomal RNA, 393 nt
Filed under: Salmonella enterica subsp. enterica serovar Rovaniemi
Lineage: Bacteria; Pseudomonadati; Pseudomonadota; Gammaproteobacteria; Enterobacterales; Enterobacteriaceae
Description: bacterial SSU rRNA
Rfam family: Bacterial small subunit ribosomal RNA
Source: RNAcentral
CAGUGAUAAACUGGAGGAAGGUGGGGAUGACGUCAAGUCAUCAUGGCCCUUACGACCAGGGCUACACACGUGCUACAAUGGCGCAUACAAAGAGAAGCGACCUCGCGAGAGCAAGCGGACCUCAUAAAGUGCGUCGUAGUCCGGAUUGGAGUCUGCAACUCGACUCCAUGAAGUCGGAAUCGCUAGUAAUCGUGGAUCAGAAUGCCACGGUGAAUACGUUCCCGGGCCUUGUACACACCGCCCGUCACACCAUGGGAGUGGGUUGCAAAAGAAGUAGGUAGCUUAACCUUCGGGAGGGCGCUUGCCACUUUGUGAUUCAUGACUGGGGUGAAGUCGUAACAAGGUAACCGUAGGGGAACCUGCGGUUGGAUCACCUCCUUACCUUAAAGAAGC